RNAcentral lists this ribosomal RNA (253 nucleotides) under uncultured bacterium. RNAcentral describes it as "partial 16S ribosomal RNA". It matches the Rfam family "Bacterial small subunit ribosomal RNA", at positions 524 to 776 of the family's 1533-position model. The record is from RNAcentral.
UACGAAGGGGGCUAGCGUUGCUCGGAAUCACUGGGCGUAAAGCGCACGUAGGCGGAUUGCUAAGUCAGGGGUGAAAUCCUGGAGCUCAACUCCAGAACUGCCUUUGAUACUGGCGACCUUGAGUCCGGGAGAGGUGAGUGGAACUGCGAGUGUAGAGGUGAAAUUCGUAGAUAUUCGCAAGAACACCGGUGGCGAAGGCGGCAUCCUGGACCGGCAUUGACGCUGAGGCGCGAAAGCCAGGGGAGCAAACGGG